UGCUCUGUGGCUUAUUUAGUUAAAGCGCCGGUCUAGCGAAUACGGAGUCGCGGGUUCAAAUCCCACCAGAACGC
Molecule: non-coding RNA, 74 nt
Organism: Aedes albopictus (Asian tiger mosquito)
Lineage: Eukaryota; Metazoa; Arthropoda; Insecta; Diptera; Culicidae
Source: Rfam